This 320-nucleotide RNase P RNA is filed under the name Bacteroidales bacterium. RNAcentral's name for it is "RNase P RNA component class A". It matches the Rfam family "Bacterial RNase P class A". Rfam says of the family: Ribonuclease P (RNase P) is a ubiquitous endoribonuclease, found in archaea, bacteria and eukarya as well as chloroplasts and mitochondria. Its best characterised activity is the generation of mature 5'-ends of tRNAs by cleaving the 5'-leader elements of precursor-tRNAs. The record is from RNAcentral. Lineage: Bacteria; Pseudomonadati; Bacteroidota; Bacteroidia; Bacteroidales.
AAGGUGGGGCGAUCUGUCGCGCCGUGAGUUUCGGCUCCCGGUGAGGAAAGUCCGGACAGGAAAGGGCACCCUGCUGAGGAAAGCUCAGAUGGGAGUGAUCUUAUAGCACCGUAACAGAAAACAACCGCCGUAAGGUAAGGGUGAAAACGCGAGGUAAGAGCUCACGACAUGCGUCGGCGACGCUGCAUGGGUACGGUGCCAGGGCCUGCAAGACCAAAUAUACUGGCAGAUGAGGGCUGCCCGUCCGAUGCCAGGGGGUAGGUUGCGAAGAUAAAUGACAGAUUUAAAAACAGAAACCGGCUUACGGCCCCUCCUUUUUA